Gasterosteus aculeatus aculeatus (three-spined stickleback) is the source of this 5579-nucleotide long non-coding RNA. The record is from Ensembl. NCBI's taxonomy places the organism in Eukaryota, Metazoa, Chordata, Actinopteri, Perciformes, Gasterosteidae.
CCAGGACAUUUGAUAUGUGACAAUUGUUUAUUACAAAAGCAUUUCAAAGGACAAGUGAUUAAUUAGCAAUACGGCACAACACUAAUGGUGUACAUUGAAUUCAUUUUUCCUUACAUCCUUGAUACAGCGUAUUGUUUGGGUGUAUGUAACUCGGUGCUCAGUAGUACUACAAGAGAAGUCAGUGACUGGAUGCAUUUGGCUAAAACAUCUCUAUGGAUAUACCUUCAUUGGUAUGUUGAAUGCAUUGGCUGAGAGCGAUAACAAACACACUGCGUGCUCUUUUUCUCACACACAUACACACAAUUACAGAAGGCACAUGAAUAAGUUGUUCUUUAAAAACUAAAAUAUGUUAGCACAUUUCAAAAGGUGAUGCAACUCCUCAAAACGUGCUUAUUAAUUCUGCCACUCAGCACAAAGUUAGUUAUUUAGUGAUUGUUAGAUUAUUAGUUCAUUAGUGGGUUAGUUUGUUAGUUUGCAGAUAGAUAUUAAAAUUGUUUCGUUAGUCGAAGUUGAUUUAUCUUUAGCAGACGUUAGUAGGUUGUUUAUAAGGACUUCCGGCGAGCAGGUCACUGACCCUGCUGGAGCAACAGGACUCCUAACAAGCAUCCUCACUCAUGGCACUAAAAGAUGUUUGGAAUAAAAAACUUCCAUCUACUGUAAUUUAAUAAGCAUCACUAGUGCCACAAGGCAUGCUCGUGUAUUUGAUUAAAGAAGAACAAAGAGACGGGAUGAUUUGAUUACACACAUCAGGAUGUUUCAGUCAGAAGGAACGCAGAUGUUAGUAACAGCAGUAGGGUGGGUGUUUACAGCCUCACCAAGGUUAGUAUCAAUACCAUAAUAAGUUAGUGGUGGAGUUGAGGUUUGCUUGGUCUGAGCUGACAAGCAGCCAGGCACUCAUCUGCAAGGGUUGACCACAUAGGUCGAGACAGAAAGACGGUCUCUUAAGAUGGGAAUUUUAAAGCCUGUGAUUUGAGACACGGUGACGUGAUAUUAUUUUACGAUCAGAUCAUGAUCGGUUUUAUGAGGAUUCUGAAGUAUGUGGUCAAACCAGUUGGAUAUCAGCAGCUGAUUAUCCUCCUCUUUCAAUCUAGUGGUUAAUAACAUUUACCCUCCCAAGUCCUGAAACCCUUCUUGACUUGUUCACUUUUUUAUUUUUUAACCGUUUUUAUUGAUUAUUUUAUUUUAAUAAUGCAUCUUGGUCUAGGCUUUCUACAAGAAGGAUUGCGGGAUCAUGAGAGAGGCGUGUUUGCAUUGGACUGCGGGCAUAAAGCAGAGGGUUAGUCAGGGGGUUAGAAAGAACAAAGCCAGCCAUCAGCAUUCGGAGAACAGGUUAGUAAUCAUCAGACUGUUAGCAGACAUUAGUAUUGUUAGAUAUUAGUCAGGUAUUGUUAGUAGAACCCAGAUCUCGGUAAAAAGCUAUUUGCACAUAAUAAUUAGCAUUUGCUGCAGUAUUGGAUGAUGGGGCGUUAAGCUUUGGAACGGUUUAAUUGAUGCUAGCAGGCAUCGUUUAGAAAACUACACACCAUUCAUUUCCAGCCUGAUUCCUGUAACUGUCUAGAUCACAGGAACCCCCACCAAACUGCUUCAAUGGGGUCCUAACAAAUGCUAAGAAUCAUUUGUAAAUAUGUUUUAAUCCUUUGUCUGGUACAUUCAGUGUGGUAUAGGAAGAGAGAAAAACAAAUCCACUGAAAAGCAGCUCGAAGCUUCAGGCCAAUUACAAAAGUGUGUUUUCAUAGAGACACAUGCAGAUAUACAGGAAUAAACACACACACACACACACACACACACACACACAAAUAGAGCACAUGCACACAAACACAUGCUCUCACGCCGGCACACACCUGCCCACACGCUUCAGUAAAAAUACACUGAGUACCGUCAAACCAUAAAAGUAUCAAGACAAACAAAGAACAUAAUGUGUGAAUUACACAUUGUCAAAAUGUGAGAAAACUAGUCUUUCUUAAUCAGAUAAGCAGAUUAUUUUUUUAUGUUACAGGCUAAAAAUAUCAAAAGCUUUCUCGUCCUGGAUCUGGCACCGAUAACGUUUUGGCUUUGGAGAAAAGUUAACACGUUACAGGAUCAUUUCUGGUUCAUUUAAAGUGUCCGAUACAGGGAAAAGAAGCCAGAAUGUUUGAUGCAGUAACCGAAGUAAUGGAUCAAAGAGGUCAGUGAAACGCACGGCGUUAAAUACUUCCGUGUUUUUAAAUCAGCCAAACAAAGUAAUGAUAGUGGGAGUGAAUUUAGCUUCAUCAGUAUUACUUACAGCUGAGAAAAGGUGCAUAUUUGAAAUAGGAAGAAAUGCAACAGAAAAAUGAUUUUGGACUCAAAACGCCAGCUGUGAAAUGCCUUCCUGUUCGCAUUGACACUGUCCACAAAGCGGCAGUGACAGCGCAUUUUCACUGACGCGCAAAAGCAUCAGAAGUCGCCUCUCAGUGGGGGAAACACAUGGGACGUGGAUCCUCUCCUUCUCGGGCUCUGGUCAUCAGGGACGGCGCCAUGCAUCCAUCACUGCUUGAGAAAUGAAACAACGGCUGUUAAAGCCUGAAAUACAGAAGUGAUUUUAUGAUUGUUCUGAUUGUUAACAGAUUAAACAUUUUCCUUAAAUGUUCUUUUGUCAAGGUCUCCACUUUCAGGUUGGUUUAACUCACCUCUGCAAUAAUCCUGGAAAACCAUAGCAGUUUUUUAGCUGAAAAUAUGGCAGUUAUUUAACUCAAAACUAAUCUCCCAUGUUCUAUCUGCUAAACAUUUAUCUUCACUUUCCGCAGGCACAGGGGCUCCACACACAUAGACACAUAGACAUAUACUGUUACAUGGGCCAAGAGAAAGACUACGGGUUCAUAAGAAUUGUCCCCGCAGUUUAUAUUCAGCGAGGCCAAUAUAACAGGUCACAGUGCUGAACAUGAAUAUGAGAGGAGUGAAAGUCACAAUGGUGUAACUCUACUGUCAGAUCCUUUACCGGUCUGUCAGGCAGCACAGCAGAGGACGAUGGAGCCGACCCGGCUCGUGAGGUCCGGAGUGCGCGUCAGUGCCGCUGGAGAGGAUUACACAACACAAAGCAGCAGAAAUGUGGGACACAACCCAACUGUCCUCCCGAGAUGCCCCAGAGAUCACUUACUGAUUUCUAUACGGUCAAAUGAGUACACCAACUGCCAACGAAUAUAAGUUACAGUAUCAGCCAUCUGAUUCACCGACUAAUACUAAAAUGUGCCAUUUUGUGCUAUUCAAAAAACAACAAACAACAACUCCCUUGUGUUUUUUUAAUACACAUAAUCAAGCCUGUACACAUGACCUGUCCUGCUGCUGGUUCCCAUUCUGAAGUGUGAUGACCAGGGACAUGUCGGCACCACUGUAGAGGAGUCCAGCAACACCGGCCACAGGUUACCUAAAAUAUAAAGGCACGCUGAAUAAGUACAGUGGAUCUCUAGAUGAUCCACUAUGUAUUUGCAUUCAUUUCGGGCCGAUAUAAUGGCCCAAUUUGUCAUGUACAUAUUUGAUGACCAAAGACAGCAAACGAUGAUAGUUCAGUUCCUGCAGAUACUGCUAUUUAGGGAUGAAAGACCACACAGGCUAUAGAUAAUUUUGUUAAAUAAUGAAAUAGACCUUGAAUCUAAUCUGGCAUGUGUCCACCACAAAUAGCCUUGCUAGAAAUAUGCAUAUUUGAAGAGUAAGGGUGUGGGCUGAGGGAAGAUAGAUCAGGCCCUCCACUGCAGGGAAUGAAACGACUUCAUGUUUGUCUACACAUUCAUCCAACCGAACGAGGAGGAUUCCUAUAGAACAAUAAAACCAGGUGAAAUCACAACAGAAUAAAAUGAGCUGUGGUGUGUUUUUCCUACCAGUGAUCUCCGCGUUCCACCGCGUAGGUGACCCGCAGCAUCAGGCGACGCAACAACAACAAAAAAUCUUCUUUCUUUCUUCUUUUUCUUCCACGAUAAGAGGCGCCGACAAACGUGCAGAUUCAUGGCGCAUAUGUGUGCAGCGAUUAGCCCGCAGCGGACCGGACACGCUACGCGCAACUUACACGAGCCGCGGCCGAGCGUCGUCUGCAUGGCUGCCGAGCCGAGACAGGCAGAUGUGGGAGCGCCCGCAGCAGCUGCGCACUGACGGGGGGGGGAGCAGUCCGAGGGAGAACGGGACAAAGUGGAGACGGGAGCCCCGGGGACAAAGAAGAGGAAAAAUGGACGGGAGGUAUUACGAGAGAACAGAGACGUCUUUGAAUAAGAGGGACUGCGCGGCCCUGAUUUAAUCAGCGGGCUCGCUCUCCAGCUGCUGCCACAGGUUUAUGCUCUUUUGUAUGCGCGCCCUUCAUCCACCAUCUGCGUUUCCCGGGCAACCGAGGGCUGCCUGCAGGCGCCAGCAGCUCGUGCACAGCAACCACCUCCAUCGGGUCUAAUGCACCUUAAAGAGACGCUCUGUAACAUAAAGACAUGCACAUGGAAUCUUCUCCUGCUCUUAUUUAUGUGUCAUGAUGCAUUUAGCAGAGAAAUACUGUCCACGUUCAUCGGUGCUGUGGUGAUUCAUUUCAUAUGACAUUAAUGGCAACAGCUGAUCUUAUCUAAUUGAACUAAUUCAUUUUGAAAGUUUCAUGCCUGCUUGAUUUAUGUAAUUAUAACUUCAUUGUCUGAUAAUGGUUUUAUGGUGGUUUUGAAAACGUUUUUAACAGAAAUAGGAGGAACUAUUGACAACAAUACAUGGUAUUGUACACUGGUUAAAGAAAAAUAUAUAUUCAGAGAUCUCUAUGGUGCAUUUUGGGGCCUGGGGGGAUAGAGGAAGGACCCUCGCAGUGAGCUUUUGGUACAUCUUGUGUGUGAUCCAACGAAUAAAUCCUAUUAAAUUACAUCAUCAUGAAUUGGAACUAAAAAUAAAAAAGAUCAAACCCUGAUCAUUGAACAAUAUCCGACUAAACAAUGAGAUUCCUGAUUGAGUGACGCGUCAAACUAGCCUGUGAUACACAACACAUACAGAACCAUGUAGGCUGCAUGCCAUCCAGAUGUAAAAGCAACAAAUAAACUGUCCCAAACUACUGAAAUCCCUUCUCCAACCUGACCCUGAGCAGAGGAUCACUCCCAAGAACCCUCUCCAGCACCUUUCAUCAAAAUGGCCCAUCUGGUGGGCGAGAUGGAGACCAGCUUGAAGUUAGUUACUGUGCCCGGUAUGGCUGAAUGGAUGGAUGAUUGGACCUCUGAUUUACUGAUUCAUUGAUUGAUUGUCAUGUUUCAUCCACUGGGGACAAGUCCCUUGACAAAACGCUGGUAUGCCGAAUGGAAAGCUUAGAAGAGGAGCUUCCCUCUGACAAUGGGGCUGAUGAAGGUAAAUGGAUUUCGGCCACACAUCGUGAAUUUGGCACAGGCUCAGCCGCUCUUUGCUUCCGUGAUGGCAUCGCAGAUAUGCCUCUCUCAAAGGAUGGAGCGGCAGAUGCUUGAGUUAUAUGCUUCUGGCUCAGCUGAAGACAAAGCAGCUGUCCGCUGCAGCCAGUCCACCUGAGGAAACGCCUCAAGAGCAAGCUGAAGGUCAAAAUCAAAUUAUAUUAUACUAUUUGGAAAGGAACACGUGGAUAUCUUUUGUUUGAAUAUAAUUAAAAU